RNAcentral lists this ribosomal RNA (965 nucleotides) under uncultured organism. RNAcentral describes it as "bacterial SSU rRNA". It matches the Rfam family "Bacterial small subunit ribosomal RNA", at positions 476 to 1430 of the family's 1533-position model. The record is from RNAcentral.
UACCACUCGAGGAAGCUCCGGCUAACUACGUGCCAGCAGCCGCGGUAAUACGUAGGGGGCUAGCGUUGUUCGGAAUCACUGGGCGUAAAGGGAGUGUAAGCGGACCGGUCAGUUAGGAGUUAAAUGUACGGGCUCAACCCGGGAAUCUUGCUUUUAAUACUGUCGGUCUUGAGUAUGGGAGAGGGAGAUGGAAUUCCAGGUGUAGCGGUGGGAAUGCGUUAGAAAUCUGGAAGAACACCAGUUGCGAAGGGCGGUCUCCUGGACCAAUACUGACGCUGAUGCUCGAAAGCUGGGGGAGCGAACAGGAUUAGAUACCCUGGUAGUCCCAGCCGUAAACGAUGGACACUAGUUGCCGGAGGAGUCAAUCCCUUCGGUGACGAAGCUAACGCAUUAAGUGUCCCGCCUGGGGAGUACGCUCGCAAGGGUGAAACUCAAAGGAAUUGACGGGGGCCCGCACAAGCGGUGGAGCAUGUGCUUUAAUUCGAUGCAACGCGAAGAACCUUACCUGGGUUUGACAUGGGGGUGAAAGUUUCCAGAGAUGGAAGCCUUUCCUUCGGGAACACCCCACACAGGUGCUGCAUGGUUGUCGUCAGCUCGUGUCGUGAGAUGUUGGGUUAAGUCCCGCAACGAGCGCAACCCCUGCCCUUAGUUGCCAUCAGGUAAAGCUGGGAACUCUAAGGGGACAGCUUGGUAUAACCAGGAGGAAGGUGGGGAUGACGUCAAAUCAUCAUGGCUCUUACGCCCAGGGCUAGACACGUGCUACAAUGGCAGGUACAGUGGGAUGCCAGCCUGCGAAGGUGAGCUAAUCCCUUAAAACCUGUCUCAGUCCGGAUUGGAGUCUGCAACUCGACUCCAUGAAGUUGGAAUCGCUAGUAAUCGCGGAUCAGCAUGCCGCGGUGAAUACGUUCCCGGGCNUUGUACACACCGCCCGUCAAGCCAUGAAAGGCGGUAGUACCCGAAGUCGC